This is a long non-coding RNA of Pseudophryne corroboree (corroboree frog), 1484 nucleotides long. RefSeq lists it as uncharacterized. NCBI's taxonomy places the organism in Eukaryota, Metazoa, Chordata, Amphibia, Anura, Myobatrachidae. The record is from RefSeq and is a predicted model, not a curated record. The transcript is spliced from 3 exons.
CCAGAACGGGGCUUGCUGGGCGGGGCUGUGACAGGGGCAUCACACUUGGCGUCUGACGUCACCCGCGAUCCGAAGUGAAGACAAAGCGGAGUUCCUCAUAGUCUGUGCCGGCGCUGCCUGCCUGCCGUGUCACCAGUGCGCAGUACUGCCUGCUGAGGGCUGGGGACUGACAGUGACUGUGGAGAGCAGCUGGGAGGAGCCUAAAGCAGUGAGAUUGUGACGGCAGACAUAGUGACUACGCCAUAAGGACCUGCGGAGAAACUUCCCGGUUUUUGCCUUGGAGCCCAGCAGUGCGGGUAAUCCGGAUAGCACUCUGCUUUUAUACCACCAGUGGCUCCAACCUCACUGACCGGGGGAACAUUACCGACGCGUUUCAUGUUAUUCGUCUAGUGACAGCAGAGAUGGUGGGGAAUGAGCCAGACACUGAUGGAUAGAAAGGCGUCCUAAUCACCACAGCCAGCAUCGCUGCCUAUGACGCACCGGUCAGGUGUUUACUGGAAUAUUUUAUGUAUUGUGUAAUCCGUAUGUAUUAUUUACACUGUGUUUAGGAUACAUUCCCCGUGCAGUAAUUGAGGGUCUGAGUCACAUGUAAAGGGGGAGCAAUUCCAGCAAUCAGUGAUCCAUGCAAAUAUCCACCUUAUUCAGAGACCACUAUACGUCUGUAACCUUAUGUAACCUUACUCGCCCCCAGCCCCCCGCUUGUGACAGCAGCCAUCAGCACCGGCCCUUUUCAGUAAGUGUGUCAGACACAUCCCCUGUAACCUGAGUAUGAUAUAACCCAUUCAUUAUUACCAUACACAGCGCCGGAGAUAUUCUGCAUAUCCAGAUCUCUAGUCUGGGGUGUUGUUAGGAGACCCCCAUUCUCUUCAGGCUGCCAUUUAAGGUACCUAUUGGUGCAAUCCAUAAUCUGUAUUCCCCCUUAUCCCCCCACAUUCAGUCCCUCGCCCAAUCCUGCUGCUUCCACCUGCGUAUUAUCUACAGUAUCAGCUCAUUUCUUACAUUAAAGAUAAUAAAUCCCCUCAUUCACCAUCCCCAUAUCUCUCCCCUGGAUUACUGUAAUCACCUUACACUCCCACCCACUUGUCUCUGCCAAUGACCCCUCCACUGCUUCCCCCGAUCAGCUCUUGCCACUGGCAUCUUCAGGAUUUCUCCCCCUUUGUGUCCUCUCCUCCCGCAGAAAGUCAGCUGUUGCUGCUGUAGUAGAGCUCUCUCCUCCCCUUCUAUUAUCUAGUAUAUUAGUAACGAGAUGUGCUAGUCUGUAACCAUGUUACAUGUAUAACCCCUAUGGACAUUGCUGUGCAGCUCUGACGUGCUAUAUAAGUAAGCUGCCUACUGGCUCCCAGGCCUCAGACACAUCCCCUCUUACCCCUGAUAACAUACACACAGGUACAGCACAGGGGGCAGUAAGGGUUAUACUCGCCCUCCUAACGGCUGAGAAUUGCGCUGUGUAUGCAUCAGUGAUACCCAACAUAAACCUUACAUAA